CUCUCUCUUUCCAGAACGAGCACGCAAUGCCGCCACAUCUCCUUGGUGUGCAUGCCACACACUUCUUCUCUCCUGCGAACCCUAGCUUCUCCCCUCCUAUAAAUCCCCUGCGUCCCUGCCUCCGCCUCCAUUUCCUCACACGCGUAGCCAAGCCCCUGCCCUACCAUGCUCCGUGCUCGCCCUGGCACCGCCGGUCGCCACUCGCCAUUGUUGUCGUCUCGCCCAAGUCCCAACUCCGGUGAACCCAGCCACCUCAGCUCGAUUCCUCGCACGAGAAUUACCAUAUCACGUUCAGGUUUCGUCCAAACCAUCAAUGGUUCAAUCCGUCCACCACAGCUCUCCAAUUUUGAGGUCCAAUCGGACUUCGUCUGGAAGUUCUAUCAGAAGAUCGCGCCGUUGACCAUGAUGUGCCCUCUGUCGCCAUGAACCCUACCGCCAUGACUUCUGGUACCCGAGUAUGAUGAUUGGUGAGAGGAAAAAAUCGCCGCCCAACCGUCAGGUGCCUCCGAUGAUAAGCUGGCCCUAAAACAUGGAGGACUCGGCAGCACAGAGAGAUGACACGGAGGAGAAUGGUAUAAAAUAAAAGUACAUCAAGCAGUCAAUCACCACAGGUAAAAUGGGAUGGCCCAGAAAAACCACACGCAAAAUUGGACGGACAGGUGAGGUGUCGAGCCUGAUCUUCCACCCGACUCCCCCAACAACUACCUUUAGUAAUGGUAUAAAUCCAUACUUUUGUUCUUGUUAUUCAAAAGAGCUUGCACCUGACGUGUGCCAUUAUAGGUUAAAAGUGGAGCAUCUAUUUGCUUUGGCAAAUGACUGUCCCUCAUUUUGGAGGACUUGACUGAACGCAUCUUGAACUUGGUCUCCAUCAACCCAAUCUCCAAAACUUCUACCUCAUUUGUCAAAAUCACAGUUUGUUGAUGUAUUCUUUGUUUCUGGUAAUUCCACCAACCAACAAGUAACAGGAAGGUCAGUCAGGUUAUGGAAAUACAAUUCAAGAAGCAGAGACAUGAAUCCUUCGGUAUCUUAAGUGAAUUGCUCACCUCUUUCAUCAUGCCCUGACACAGAAUAGAAUCAUCUUGAGUUCCGCUUGCAAUUAGCCCAAUACUCCGCCACAAGUUUAGCAAAGGCUGAUUUUUUGUCUCCCAACAGCUUGGCUGGUGUGUCAUAUUCUAGAACCUUACCUGUACAAAGUCACCAGCACUCAUCAUCAAAUAAAUAAGCGCUGUUUUUUACUUAUUAUAAGCAGAUCAGAAUUGAUGUCAAUGCUACUGCAUCAUAUCACUACUAUUACUCUGAGCCUCUGGGGAAGGAUCGAAAUUUCAUCAGAUUGAUAUAUUACCAAUUGUGUAGUAUAGCAUACCGUAGGAAAGUACCAUGACCUUGUCGCUGUCUGUCACAGUUGGAACCCUGUGAGCAAUGGUUAUCACUGUGCAACUGUUGAACUGCUUCCUGAUGACACUCUGCAGGAUUGCAUCAGUGGCAGCGUCAAUUGACGCUGUUGCUUUAUCUAGCACUAGAAUUUUAUUCCUAUGGAGGAGAACUCUGCCAAGACAGAAAAGCUGGCGCUGUCCAACACUCCAAUUAUCGCCAUCAUCACUCACUGCCAUAGGCCAGGGGGAGAAAUCAUUUGAACCCUUCUGGUUAACUAAAACUGCUUUCUAAGAAUGCAGGCCAAGGGGGUCCAAGUUAUUGCGCACAGUUCCUCUGAAAAGUGUAGGUUCUUGGGGGAUAAUACUCAGUUUAGUUCUUAGAUCCUUGAGACCUAUAGAGCUGAUAUCCAAAUUGUCAAUAAGUAUCCUCCCACCCACAGGAUCAACGAGACGGAACAAUGUGCUGAUAAGCGUUGAUUUCCCACUUCCCGUCCUCCCGACAACCCCAAUUCUGCUUCUCGCUGGGAAGGUGCAUGUGAUUCCUUUGAGAACAAGUGACGUGUUUGGACGGUAUUUCACCUGCUCAAAAAGCGCAAGUUAGUACAACCUUUUCUUAUUAAUUAGUUACAGUGAUUGCCAGCAAA
Molecule: long non-coding RNA, 2017 nt
Organism: Brachypodium distachyon (stiff brome)
Lineage: Eukaryota; Viridiplantae; Streptophyta; Magnoliopsida; Poales; Poaceae
Exons: 3
Source: RefSeq, a predicted model, not a curated record